AAAUAAUUUGACAGUCGAUUUGCUGACAGGGGAGGAAUUUGCAUCCUGGAUUAAAAAAAAAAAAAAAGGCCGAGAGGAGCUUGGGAACGGUUGCUAGGGGUGGGUAAUGGGUGAAAAAAGGGGGGCGCCGGGGAGCGGAUAAGGAAGGUUAAGGGAGGGGGCGAGGGUGGGGAGCAAUGCAAAAGGUAAGGCCAGGUUACCGCGGCUCGGCCCCGAGUGGGCUGCGGCCGGGGGAGGGGCGAGAGAUACAUAUGUAUUUCUGUCUCCCUAGCACACCCCCUUCCCUCUAAGCGAUGGCUGAGAGGCGGUGCAUGCAGAUGGGGAGUAAGUUUCCUGAAGGGGAGGGUGGAUGCACGCGCGCGGCCCCGCGCUGCAAAUUUCCACCGGGGAGGGAGAGUGGCUGGAUGCGGAGAGUUUGGAGUUGCUUGCCGCGGAGGGCUGGAAGGGGAGCAGGGCCGGGAAAGGGGGCUGGCGGGCGCUAUAUCUGGGAGUAAGUUUCCAGGAUCAGGAGAGCCUGCACGCUUGCACGCUACUCUGCUCGCCCCCCAUCUCAUCCCCCAAGCGGAGUCUGGUCUUGUCGGAUUGCCCAUGCACUUGUUGCAGAAACAGCCAAGGCCCCGGCUCUGGAGGAUGCUGA
Long non-coding RNA from Lynx canadensis (Canada lynx), 637 nucleotides. Lineage: Eukaryota; Metazoa; Chordata; Mammalia; Carnivora; Felidae. The record is from Ensembl.